This 491-nucleotide ribosomal RNA is filed under the name uncultured bacterium. RNAcentral's name for it is "partial 16S ribosomal RNA". It matches the Rfam family "Bacterial small subunit ribosomal RNA", at positions 29 to 506 of the family's 1533-position model. The record is from RNAcentral.
AGUGAACGCUGGCGGUAGGCCUAACACAUGCAAGUCGAACGGCAGCACAGUAAGAGCUUGCUCUUACGGGUGGCGAGUGGCGGACGGGUGAGGAAUACAUCGGAAUCUACUUUUUCGUGGGGGAUAACGUAGGGAAACUUACGCUAAUACCGCAUACGACCUACGGGUGAAAGCAGGGGAUCUUCGGACCUUGCGCGAUUGAAUGAGCCGAUGUCGGAUUAGCUAGUUGGCGGGGUAAAGGCCCACCAAGGCGACGAUCCGUAGCUGGUCUGAGAGGAUGAUCAGCCACACUGGAACUGAGACACGGUCCAGACUCCUACGGGAGGCAGCAGUGGGGAAUAUUGGACAAUGGGCGCAAGCCUGAUCCAGCCAUACCGCGUGGGUGAAGAAGGCCUUCGGGUUGUAAAGCCCUUUUGUUGGGAAAGAAAAGCAGCAGGUUAAUACCCCGCUGUUCUGACGGUACCCAAAGAGUAAGCACCGGCUAACUUCGU